GAGGAGGAGGGGGGGGGGGGGGAGAUGCUCCCUAAAGGAGGAGGAGGAGGAGGAGGAGGGGGGAGGAGAUGCUCCCUAAAGGAGGAGGAGGAGGGGGAGGAGAUGCUCCCUAAAGCCUUCCUUUUUCUUCCACCCUGGUCUGUACCUGUAUGUGCAGCUUGUGCACGCGAGUGCCCCCCCCCCCCCCCCCCCCUCCCCUCUGGGAGGCAACAUUUGCGGGAAGCAGCGGUGGAAACGCAUGAACACACACACACACACGCGCGCACACACACACACCCACAUGCGCACACACACACACCCACACGCGCGCACACACACACACCCACAUGCGUGCACACACACACACACAAACACACACAAACACACACACAGACACACACCCACAUGCGUGCACACACACACACACAAACACACACACACACCACACACACAGAGACACAAACAAACAAACACUGCUCAUCCUCCCUCUCUGGACUUUGCCUUUCCUGCCAACCUCUGCACGGUGGUGAGACUGAGGGCGGAGGUGAACCCACGGGGGGCCGGGGGGUGCGUCCCCACCACGGCCAUCGUUAAUAUCUACUAGGUUAAUGUUCUACGAGGCUCUGCUCUGCGUCAGUCAUAGGAACCUUUGACCUCUGACCUCACCCCCCACUGGUCUCGUGGGCGGUUUCCGCUCGGCCAGGUAGACGAGGUAACUCUUUGACUCAGAUCGGGCUGCUCGGCCCGGACGAUAUAUACAUUUGUCAACGUUUAAAAUGGCGAGAUUAGCCGAUUCUGAUGAAAAACUCUCCUCAGAUUAGCAUAGCGAAGACUCUGAUCCGGGACCCCCCCCGGGACCCUUGUGUGCCAUCUUCAAAUCAAGUGGCGCUUGUCGUGGCGGCGCCACGGUCAUAUAGGAGCGUCGUACUCCUCCAGGUAGUCUUUGAUGGUGUGCGGGAGCUGCUCGGACUGUUCUGACCUCCCCAGGCCCCGAUUGUUGAGGGUGGUCCUGCACAAAUGCUGCAGGGACGAGAGCGAAGUCAAAAGGGGGCGACGUAAUUCCAAAGGAAUCCUCUCUCCGCCGGUGUGGAUCAAGUAAACGCUGCGCGCCUUCAUCUCGGCCCCCCCGGGGUCGCCCCCGCAGGCGCCGGCGCCGCCCCGGCCUCCGGCCUCCGACCCUUUGCCCAUGUAGUGCGCGAUGAGUUUCAGCACGCAGUCAAACUGGGGGAGCUCGUGGGCGUUCUGAGGGUCCGGCUGCAGGAAGAACCCCCCCCCCCUCGCUGUGGAUGCGCAGGUUCUUGGUUCCUCGGGCCGUCUGCACCGAGAGGGUAAAGAAGUGGUGAUGGUCGGAGGAGUCGCGGAUCAGGAAGGUACCGGGUGGUUCGGAGCGCAGCGUGGAGCUGGCCUCCCGGCCCCCCAUGGCCCCCCAGUAAAAGCCACUCUCCUGGAGCUUCCGUAAGGCGCGCAUCACCUGAAAAGACGCGCACAACGUGUUAGUACAGAACCAGAACCAGGAUUGGGAUCUGGAGUCCUCGAGGGGAACUGACCUGCUGGUAAUGCUCGUUUGAGCUAAACGGCUUGAAGUGAUGCGGGGUGAAGUUUGACCCCUGAACCCUGGCGUCCGCUGACCUCACGCUGCUCAUGGCGAGGGCUUUUGGUCCGUUGAAGGUUACCAUGAUGCCAUGGCCCCCUGCCUCCGCCUGCUGGUGGAGAGGCAGGGGGCCCACAAGAGGAGGGUGGAGGUGGACAGGUGAGGGCGGGCUCGGAGCAGGGGGGGGCGCCAGGCGGAGGGGCGUAGGCUGAGGGUGGCGGGGUCACACACCGGGUCCAGGGCCCCGGGGGAGAGGAGUCUGACGCAUCCAGAGAGGGGCUGGGAGAGGGCACCUAAACACAGCUGGGGGGGGGGGGGAAGGGACGGAGUACAUAUUAGGUCAACGAGCUUGGAAUUAUGCCAGAAAAGGAUCCCUGGUCACGGACGCGAAUUCAGCCCCACUUCUCCAGGCUGGUGCGCGGUCAUGGCGUGAGUCACGGGCAGGCGGGGGGCGCUCGGUUUGGGGGCCGCGGCCGCCUCCGCUCGCACCUCCCGCGACAAGGGGCCUCACGAACGGGGUCACGGAGAAAGAGCCCGGCGCGCUUUGCCCCCCCCCCCCUCCUCCUCCUCCUGCGUGAAAUAAUACCCCCCUCUCCCCUGCACGGGGAGCGACACAGAGGCACCAUUCUCCGGUUUCAGAAUGACCAGAAGGGGGUCCCGUCCCGCGCUGCUCGGAACCCCCGGAGGCUGCGGAUUUACCGGCCAGUGCAGGACGGUUCGGAGCCGCUAGAGAAGCGCCGCUCCGGUCACUGACGCUCACACAGCAGCGAAAAUGCGCCUCUACCCAGCUCGGUGGCGCCCACCGGAUCCCAGCCUGGAUCUCCGCUUCCAUUUCCACCCAAACAUCAAUUAUCUCGGUCAUUUGCAGCCGCAGCCGCUGCCUUUAAACUUACCUUGCGGAUUUGUUGAGCCCGGCGCUGCAGCCGCUCGGACACAAAGGAGAGCCGAUGCAAACUACCCGAGAGUAGUGCCAGAAAAAUGAUUAACUCAGGCAUUAAAAUCCGCAGUAAAGUAUCCAGAAAGUGUGUGGGUUCCUUUCCUGGACGGAGGAAUGCGUCAGCGGCGGUCCGAGCCGGAGAGGAGCCCAGCCGAGUGUGGAGGAAGGUUAUUGGAGGUUGUUGCCAAUGAGUAAAGCCGAUGUUCGUAAGGCUCCGCCCCCCGCGCUCGGAGCGCCUUCCAGUAAACACACGCACGCCCCGCGCGAGCACGCGCGCCCGCGUGCUGAGACAGAUAGUGCCCAUAAAUAAUCGGCGUGACCUUUGCUGGGCGGCUUCCUGGUAGUCGCGGGUUCCAUUCUUGAAAAGUUGAAUCAAAGCGGAACGUAUGGGACCAGAUUGUGACGCAACAGCCUUUGAUCCGCGGCUCAAACUCGCACAUUUGCGCGUGUGCCGUCGGUUUCCUGUAUUCUCGAGCAAUGGGCAUCUUGUGAUUUAUUGAAAGAGCGUUGCCUAAUAUAUGUUUCCCGAACGGACUCUGCUGCUCCUGUAACACAUCCAAUUAACUAAAGCGCGGUGAAUAAAUAAAGCUCUACCUCCGGGGCCGCUCUCGCCCCGGGAACCACAUGUGCAGCUCAUUAUUUUUCUUUUAGCAUCAUUUAGAAAGUGGCGUGAUUAACUUUGACCGUGCGGGAGCAGGGCAACGUCCGAGGAUGAUUCCUCGUGUGUGUCAGUAAAUCGGGAAGCGUCGGGAUUACUGUAAGUGCUCUUGAGCAACCCGCUGCCGCUGAGGGCGAAUGCAAAUAAAAAUCUAAUUCCUGCCUUUAAAAUGGGCCGCGGAGCCCGGGGUGAGGAUAUUUACAGAACGUGUGCUGAUGGAAUUAUUAAUUAUCAUCAUCGUCACGUGACAUUGUUGAUUAUUCAUGAGACAUUUGAUAAAACCCACAUGAGACGUUGAGGCAAAACUAUUACACUAUAACACACAAUAAAACCUUAUCUUAUUUCAGGCGAUGCCUGAUAAAGGUCUUAUCAAAGAUAACAAGUUAUGUUAUUAUUUACUUACAAUAACCAUUCAUGAGAGGACUAAAAAGCUCGUUGUCAUGUUGCGUCGAGCACUUUAAGGAAGUUUUAA
Takifugu rubripes (torafugu) is the source of this 3637-nucleotide long non-coding RNA. NCBI's taxonomy places the organism in Eukaryota, Metazoa, Chordata, Actinopteri, Tetraodontiformes, Tetraodontidae. The record is from Ensembl.